Salvia splendens (bonfire salvia) is the source of this 993-nucleotide long non-coding RNA. RefSeq lists it as uncharacterized. The transcript has 2 exons. NCBI's taxonomy places the organism in Eukaryota, Viridiplantae, Streptophyta, Magnoliopsida, Lamiales, Lamiaceae. The record is from RefSeq and is a predicted model, not a curated record.
GCCCAAAGAUUUAUUUAAAAGCCCAAGACUUAAUUAUUUCCCCACCUUAUAUCUCCAAUCAAAAUUUUUAAGCCCCAAACCAAAAAAUAUAAGAGAGCCCAACUAACAAAACAUCUAAUUUAUUAAUGUGGCCCAAUUGCUUUUAAAAAAUAAAAGAGCAGGCCCAAAGAAAAAAUAAAAAAAAUAUACUGCCUUUUUUUGUCACGUAUACUCCCUCCCCAACAUACACAAACAAAAAUUAAGUAAACCUUACUGCAAAAGUAACAAAACAUAUUAAUACUCUCAUUCUCUAAACAAAACGUCGGCUUCCCUCCCCCUCUCUCUCUACUGUAUUCUCCCACAAAUUGCAGCUACUAACAAAACGAAGUUCCAAAUUCACCUCCAUCUCUCUCGAUUUUUCUCACAAGAAAACGAAAACUCCCAAUUAAAGAGAAAGCCCCAAAACAGAAACCGUCGAUUCUCCGAUUCACCGUCGCCUUCCACCGUCGCCGGCCGCUGCUCACCGGGAAGAAAAAUUGCGGUCGCCACGGUCCUGUCGGCGCCGUCGCGCGUCCAAAACUGCCGUCGUCUGCAGCCUCCCGUCGGUCAGCCUCUGCUGCAUUCGUCGCCACGGCGCCGCUGCCGUCGUCACCGCAGGCUGCGGUCAGUUUGCCUUCGCCGUUGAGUUCGGUCAGCGUCGGUGCCCCGAAACCAACCCGAGAUUCUCGAUUUCAAACUUACAAGCACGGAGGAGGAAAGUCUUUUCACGGAGGACGAUAAUCUUUACAAGAUCUUUAUUUAAUAUCUAAAUUAAUGUCGAUUGAUGAUCAAAUCAACAUGGAGAAUAUUAAAUUAGUUUAGUUUAAUUCACAUUACUUUGUAUUUUAUUUUAAAUUAUGCAGUCCAUAAUUUAUUUAUCACGGACUGAAUUUUUAUAUUAUUUAUUCCAUUUAUCCGAUCCAACUCGCGGAUUGAGUCCAAUAUAUUUAUUCCCCACGGAAAGGAAUUAUUUUA